This 253-nucleotide ribosomal RNA is filed under the name uncultured prokaryote. RNAcentral describes it as "partial 16S ribosomal RNA". It matches the Rfam family "Bacterial small subunit ribosomal RNA", at positions 524 to 776 of the family's 1533-position model. The record is from RNAcentral.
UACGGAGGGGGCUAGCGUUGUUCGGAAUUACUGGGCGUAAAGGGCGCGUAGGCGGCCUUGCAAGUCAGACGUGAAAGCCCCGGGCUUAACCUGGGAAUGGCGUUUGAUACUGUGGGGCUAGAGGACAGGAGAGGAAAGCAGAAUUCCUAGUGUAGAGGUGAAAUUCGUAGAUAUUAGGAAGAAUACCAGUGGCGAAGGCGAGUCCCUGGACAACUCCUGACACUGAGGCACGAAAGCUAGGGGAGCAAACAGG